This 3247-nucleotide ribosomal RNA is filed under the name Durio zibethinus. RNAcentral describes it as "eukaryotic LSU rRNA". It matches the Rfam family "Eukaryotic large subunit ribosomal RNA". Lineage: Eukaryota; Viridiplantae; Streptophyta; Magnoliopsida; Malvales; Malvaceae. The record is from RNAcentral.
ACGAUCCCAGGUCAGGCGGGAUCACCCGCUAUGUUUAAGCAUAUAAAUAAGCUAAGGAAAAGAAACUUACUAGGAUUCCUUUAGUAAUGACAAGCAAACCAAAAAAAGCCCAGGUUAGGAAUCGAGUGCCCUUUGCAUCCUAAUUGUAGUAUAGAGAAGUGUCCUUAGUGGCAAAAUGGGCCAAGUCCCCUGAAAAAGGGCAUCGGAGAGGGUAAGAGCCCCAUUGUGCCUGGACCUUGUACACCAUGAAUCAUUAUCUACAAGUCAAGUUAUUUGGUAAUGCAGCACCAAUCGAGUGGUAAAUUCCAUCCAAAGUUGAAUAUGAACAAGUACUGUAAGGGAAAGAUUAAAAGGACUUUAGAAAGAGAGUUUACGAGUCAUUAAAAUUGUCAUGAGGGAAGUGGAUAAGGGUCAAUGAUGCAACCCAAUUUGAUGUGGAACAAUGAAAGCUAGUCGCCAAUUAGCUCGAGGCAUGGACCGAUGUGUGUCAUAGCUGUAGCCUAAGCCUCGGCUUUCAAAAUGCCCACGAAGAUGUCAUUGACAUGGUCAUGGAAUGCAACAAACACUAUCUUGGCAUGUCUCGACACUGAUAUGCUCUCAGGGUCGAUAUAUGUGCUUUUCAUCUGGCUUGUCUUGAAAUACAGACCAAAGAGUCUAACAUGUGUACAAGUCAACAAGCUAGUAAACCCAUAAAGCAUAAGGAAGCUGAUUGGUAAAAUCCUUUAUGAGUGCACCGCCGAUCGACCUUGAUAUUUUAAUAAGGGUUUAAGUGGGAGCAUGCUAGUUGGGACCCAAAAUAUUGUGAACUAUGCUUGAGUGGGGUAAAGCCAAAGGAAACUUUGGUAGAGGCUUAUAGUGAUACUGAUGUGCAAAUUGUUCAUCUAACUUGGGUAUAGGGAUGAAAGACUAAUUGAACCUUCUAGUAGCCAAUUCCCUCUAAAGUUUCCCUCAAGAUAGCUUAAGCCCUUAGCGAGUUAUAUCGGGUAAAGCCAAUGAUUAGAGGCAUUGAGGGUACGAUGCUUUUAACCUAUUCUUAAACUUUAAAUAGGUAGGACGAUGCAGCUACUUCGUUGAGCCAUACUAUAGAAUUAAGAGCUCCAAAUGGGCCAUUUUUGGCAAGCAAAACUAGCGAUAUGGGAUGAACUAAAAAUCGGGUUACAGUGCCCAAUUACACACUAACCUAGAACGUACAAAUGGCAUUUUUUGAUUAAAAUAAUAGGAUAGUGGUCAUGGAAGUUAAAAUUCGUAAAAAAGUGUGUAACAACUCACUUGUCGAAUUAAGCAGCCUUGAAAAUGAAUGGCUCUUAAGCAUCUAACCUGUACUCGAUCGUUGGGGAAAGAACCAGGCUCCGAUGAGUAAGAAGGCACAAUAGUCUCGGUAAAAACUAGGGCAUAACCUUAGGUGGAAUGACCAUCGAUACAAUUCUUGGUGGUAGUAGUAAAUAUUUAAAUAAGAACUUUAAAGGCCAAAAAAGAGAAAGGUUCCAUGUGAGCAACACUUACACAUAAGUUAAUCGAUCUUAAGAGACAAGGGAAGCCUAUCUGAUAGUGAGUUUAGCAUGAGCUUCGAAAGGGAUCAAAGUUCUUAAACUAGGAUGUGGCGGCUAAUGACAAUGUUAAGGAGUCUAAAAACAUCAGUAGGUGCCUUGAGAAUAGUUAUCUUUUUUGUUUAACGGUCUACCCACCCUAGAAAUAGCUUAGUCAAAGAUAGGGUCCUACGGUUAGAAGACCACCACACAUUGCGUGGUGUUCAAUGCACCUCCAGUGGCCCUUAAAAAUUCAAAAGGCCAAGUGCCAUCCUUAUCUGGUCAUACUCAUAAUCGCAUUAGGUCUUUAAAGUGAAUAGCCUCUGGUCGAUGGAACAAUGUAAGCAAUAGAAGUCAACAAAAUGGCUCUGUAACCUCAAGAAAAAAAUUAGCAUUGAGGUUAGGCAUGCGAGUCCUAGUCUCAAACUUGUUGACUAUCGGUGCACUAUUUAAGCUACUCCUACAGUGAAAAUGGGUUAAAGCAUGUCAGAUGAGGGAUGGACUGGGAAUGGCUCAUUGAGGACCUUCCCUGGGUGAUGAACAUUUUACUCAAAGCUAGUACAAAUAAGGGAAAUCCAACCAUUUAAUUAAAACAAAGCAUUGCAAUGGUCCCUAUGGAUGCUCAUACAAUGUGAUUUCUGCCUAAUGCUUUGAAUGUCAAAGUGAAAAAAUUCAACCAAGCGUAGGUAAAUGGUGGGUGUAACUAUGACUCUCUUAAGGUAUUGAAAUGCCUCAUCAUCUAAUCAGUGACAUGUUUGAAUGAAUUAAUGAGUUUCCUACUAUCCCUAUCUACUAUCCAAUGAAACCAUAGCUAAGGGAAUAAGCUUGAAAGAAUCAUUAGGGAAAGAAGACCCUAUUGAGCUUAACUUUAGUUUGACUUUGUGAAAUGACUUGAAAGGUAUAAGAUAAAUGCGAGCCCUCAAGCGAAAUUGAAAUGCCACUACUUUUAACGUUAUUUUACUUAUUUCGUGAGUUAAAGGUGAAGCACGACCCCUUUUUUUAAACCCAAAGUCAGUUUCGAUUGAUUGAUCUAGGCAAAAGACAUUGUUAGGUGGAGAGUUUGGCUAGGGUGGCACAUCUAUUAAAAGAUAAUGCAAGUGUCCUAAGAUGAGCACAAUGAGAAUAAAAAUCUCAUAUGAAAUAAAAGGGUAAAAGCUUGUUUGAUUUGAUAUCUAAUACGAAUUUUAACCCUGAAAGCAUGGCCUAUUAAUCUUUUAGACCUUCAAAAUUUGAAGCUAGAGAUGUCAAAAAAGUUGCCACAUGGAUAACUAGCUUAUGACAGCCAAGUAUUCAUAGCGACAUUACUUUUUGAUCUUUCGAUGUUGGCUCUUCCUAUCAUUAUGAAACAGAAUUCACCAAGUGUUGGAUUGUUCAUCCACCAAUAAAAAAUGUGAGCUAGGUUUAGACUAUCAUGAGUCAGGUUAGUUUUACCCUACUAAUGAUAGCGUCGUAAUAGUAAUUUAACCCAAUAUGAAAAUAACCAUUGAUUUGCAUAAUUGGUCAUUGCACUUGGCUGAAAAGCCAUGGCACAAAGCUAGCAUGUGUUUCAUUAUGAUAGAACACCUCUAAGUCAAAAUUUAGGCUAGAAGCAAUGCACAUGCUUGCUGCCCUGAUUGCCAACCUAUUGUGGGGGCACAUGGCCCCUAAGGGCAUGUGUCAUAGGUGUAGCCCCCAUGAUGGACAAGUUACGCAAGCCUUCUUAGAGCUAAAUUCCCACUGAG